CUAGUUAUCUACAAAAGUUUUAUGGAUUUAUAUUAAUUAUGACAAAUAUAAUGAGCAUAAUGUAAAUUACAAAUAGUUUUGAAGUUGAAUUUGAAGUUUUCCUUUUGGAGAAAAACACCUUGAAACUUCAAAUAUAAAGUUUGCAAAACUCUAUAAUAGAGAGUCUUUUUGGAGAUGCUCUAAUGGGUCGUGAUCUAAAAUCCCACCAAACAAAAAUUUCAUCAAACUAAAUCUUGUACUUACCCCAAAAAAAAAAUUUCUUGUACUUACAUUUUAAUCUCUUCAACUAACCUUGUAUUGAAACGUUUCAAUAGACGGAGAAGAGACUAAUUGAAUAACUUUGACGAUCAUAAGAACAUAAUAAUACUGAUAUUUAGAUCUGAUUAAAAACUUUAAACACUUGCAACUUGAGAUGACUUUCUCUCAGGCAAAAAAACACUUGAGAUGAUUUUCUAUUAGUUAAUCAUAAGCAAACGAAAACAUUCCUUUCAACUUUUGUUUUGUUUUGAUAAAGAAAAACGACAUGCUUUUCAACCAUCAAGUAGUGUUAGAUAUCUAAUUAUAUAAAGAAUUGUUGGAGUCUCUCCCGCAUUGUCCACGUGGAAAGUCGAUGCCUGACAAGCCGACACGUGUCCUAAACGCAUCGUUUCAUUUAUUCUCUACGUUUGUGGGCUUUGUCGCGUGUUGAGUGUUUGGGCCGUGAAGUGUGAAGAUAUGUCGGGCCCAUAGAGUAUCUGUUGUCUCUAUUCCUGAUACGCAGAGAAGAAACGAGGUCCUCUUCCCUCUUUGUGCGACGGCGACUAUGUUGUUUCCUCUUUCUCUUACCUUCUGAAACGGUUUGAGUAAAGAUUUCGUGUUUAAUCUCAUUGAUUCCCCAUCUUCAAUGCUCUUUUUCGAUCUCAAAGUCGGUGAUUUCAGUAUAAAUAAGUGGUUUUCUUCUCCAAUCUGAAGUCCGGCAACUGCUCCUCCGUUGUCGAGGCUAGGCUUCUGCGGUUUUGGGAGGCUAGGCUUCUGCUUUUUUGGGUCGAUAUGCUUCGUGUCUCUUUUGUUUCGUCAUGAAAAGCAAGAGUUUCAAGGAGUGUCCUCAUCCAGAUGAUAAGCAGAGAACCAACUUAGCAGAGAAUAGGGUUUGGCUCCAAGACAAAUAAAGUUCUGGUUCCAGAACAGAAGAACUCAGCUUAAGGCGCAACAUGAGAGACCAUAUAACAAUGCACUAAAGGCAGAGAAGGACAAGUCGAUUGCACCACCGCGAUGUUUUUGGGAUCUAACGAGAGCCAGGAAUGAACACUUUCGCAGAAAAGUUGGAUCAUUUUAAGAGUUGGGACAUGGUUGUCAUCAAAUGGGAAUCUCUCCACGCGGCCGUAAAAGUUUUCUGGAUCAUAACAUUCUUCUAUGCAUAGUGAUUAUGAUGUCGCAUAUCAAGCACGGACUUGACUUGCAAGAUCAUCAUCAUCUCCACCUGCAAGAUCGCAGGUGUAAAGACACCAGUGAGAAAUUCUACUUCAGUGAGAGGGUCAACUUCGGGAAGAGCAUCAUCUCCUCCAGAAAAAAUCCACAAAGCCCAAGAGAAACAUAUUAAAGACGGUUGGAUCCAGAUCGAUAGCUGCAAGGGGGAAGAAAGGUUCAGAAAGAACAGGUAAGAAACUAAGUGUUGUUGGGUUCAGAGAUCGGUCUUCUGCGGCUAGACCCUCCUCUUAAUUACAUGCUGUUUGACUUGAGGUUGAGGAAAGUUAAAAGUCCGUAGAUUAUGGUCGGAUUAUGAUUGAAUGUGUGUUAAAGAAGAAUCAUCUUGAGAAACCAUAACAUGUUCUUUCUUCUACGAAUUUUAUAUCGAUAGAAGAAAUUCUCUUUUGCCUUGACAGAAACUCAAAUCAGUAAAGUCAGUCUGUAUAUGACAUUGACAUCAAUGGCGGUUGUAUCAUAUUCGUUUUGGGUGGUAGAAUGGUUUUUAUACAAAUUGAGUUAUGGCGUGGGACAUGUCUUUCAAAAUUAACUAAUGUUCUGAUGUGAAUAACAUUUCUUAAACGGAAUUUACUGAAA
This is a long non-coding RNA of Brassica rapa (field mustard), 2040 nucleotides long. RefSeq lists it as uncharacterized. NCBI's taxonomy places the organism in Eukaryota, Viridiplantae, Streptophyta, Magnoliopsida, Brassicales, Brassicaceae. The record is from RefSeq and is a predicted model, not a curated record.